AUGGCUUCCAUGGCGGGGGCGCCGAGGGUCAGGUCGCUCAACAUCGCGGCGCCGGAGGCGGACGCGAGGCCGGUGCUGGUGCCGGCGGGCAACAAGGCCCCGGCGGCUGCGCGGAAGCCUUCUCCCAAGCCGCUGCGGAAGGCGACGGCGGCCACGCCGGAGAAGCCUCCGGCCGCCGCGGCAGCCAAGGGGGGUGAGGAGCAGGGCGCGAAGAAGGAGGAGGCGGCCGCCACCGCUGGCGGCGCGACGAAGGGGGGCUCGCCCCCAUUGCCGUCGCCGAGGCGGACCCCGCUGAGGAAGCCGCACGAUGCGCCGGCGGUGGUCCUCGACGCGUCCUGCUCCUCGGAGGCCUCCGUGGAUUCUCUCCGCGGCCGGGCCUCCGGCGGAAGGACGGAGAGGAGCUGGUCCCAGCCGGCCGCGCCCAAGCGUGGGAAGGCUGCGUGUAAGGCGGUGGAGAAGCAUGCCGAUGUCGCUCUGGUGACGCGGGAGGCCGUCCAAGGGAAGAGGAGGUGCGCCUGGGUGACUCCGACCACCGAUCCUCACUAUGUCACUUUCCAUGAUGAGGAAUGGGGGGUUCCAGUUCACGACGACAGGAGAUUGUUCGAGCUACUUGUAUUAUCUGGUGCAUUAGCAGAACUAUCAUGGCCUGAAAUUCUCAAGAAGAGACAAAUUUUCAGAGAAAUUUUCACGAACUUCGAUCUGAUUGCUGUUUCCAAUAUAAAUGAAAAGAAGCUGGUAGCGCCAGGAAGCAUUGCCAGGUCCCUUUUGUCAGAGCAAAAGCUGCGAGCAGUCCUCGAAAACGCUCGCCAGAUAGUUAAGAUUGCAGAUGAAUUUGGAUCCUUCAGUCAAUACUGCUGGGGUUUUCUGAACCACAAACCGAUAGUAAGCAAAAUCCGAUAUCCAAGGCAAGUCCCUGUCAAGAGCCCCAAGGCAGACAUGAUGAGCAAGGACAUGGUGCGAAGGGGACUCCGAGGCGUGGGCCCAACAGUCAUAUAUUCCUUCAUGCAGGCAGCAGGGCUAACCAAUGAUCACCUGGUCAGUUGCUUCCGUUUCAAAGAAUGCAAGCCGUCUCCAACCCUUGGCACGAGCGACGCCGACAGGGCGAAGACAGAGGCAGAACGAAAAACGGAGGAGCCGAGAACAAAAGCCCACGGGGAGGAGAUGACCGUAAACUCGGACCCGUCGACGGCGAUCGACACGCUCACCAUUUCGUAG
RNAcentral lists this ribosomal RNA (1215 nucleotides) under Triticum aestivum (bread wheat). RNAcentral's name for it is "partial small subunit ribosomal RNA". The record is from RNAcentral. Lineage: Eukaryota; Viridiplantae; Streptophyta; Magnoliopsida; Poales; Poaceae.